AUGGGGUCUGUGGCCUCCUGCCCGCACCUGAGUUCCUCCGCCCCAGCCUGCGGCGUCUGUAGGUCCCGCUCCGCGCCGAGCCCCCGCUGCACCUGCACCGAGGCCACGGGGCGCAUGCGCGGCCGCGGGGAGCGGGGGCCGGGGCGGGAGGGGUCCUGCGGGCCCCGCAUCCCCAUGCCCACUGCGGGGCUCGGACAGGGGGACGCCACGCCAGGCCGCAGACCCCGCCCUUCCACGUCCCCACUCCGGCGGCCCGUGCGACUCCGGACGACGCUUCCCGGGGCUGCGGGCCGGGGCAGCCGCGGCGCCCCUCCCCAGGUCCACCGCGGGCGCCGCUUUCAGACAAAGGCAGGAGACGGAGCGGGAGACGCUGCCGUGACUGCUCCGGGCGGCCGCGGAGGAGGAGAAGGACGUGGCGCCGCCGACGCCGGCGGCCGGGCCCGGGUCUGGGCGCUCCCAGGCGCGCGGCGUGGGAGCGGGGCGGGCGGGCGGCGCCCAUCACGCGUUCCGCGGCCGGGUCCCGAGCCCCGUCGGGCGCCCAAGGGGCCAGGAGUCCCCGCCCGCGCCGCCACCCCCGCCCGCGCCCGGCCCCUCGCGCUGCCCCGCCGCCCCGUCGCGCCCAGCGAGCCACGGCGGGGCGGGGGCGGUGUCUCCCCACCCCCGCGAUCACAUGGUGACCCCCGGCAGCCAAUGCAGUGGACGCUAGGACCCUGCGGGCCGCGGGCGCCGCGACUGCACCGGCGCCGCCGCAUUAUAAAUACUUCUCCAAAAUGCGGCGCAGCUCCCUGCGCGCGCCCCGGCCGCCUCCGCCCCGCCCCUGAGCCGCCGCCGCCGUCGCCGCCGCUGCUGCCGCCGCCGCCGCCGCCGCCGGUCCGAGGGCGCCGCGCCCUGCCCUGGGCCCGGCCGUGCCUGCCGCCCGGCCGCGUCCCCGCUGCCGCGCCGCCCGGCCGGGUGCAUGCAUUGUGGGCCUCCCGACAUGGUCUGCGAGACGAAGAUCGUGGCCGCCGAGGACCAUGA
This 1017-nucleotide long non-coding RNA is filed under the name Macaca fascicularis (crab-eating macaque). RNAcentral describes it as "lncRNA (ENSMFAG00000058633.1)". The record is from RNAcentral. Lineage: Eukaryota; Metazoa; Chordata; Mammalia; Primates; Cercopithecidae.